GGCACCAUAGCUUAGCUGGUCAAAGCGCCUGCCUUGUAAGCAGGAGAGCCUGGGUUCGAGUCCCAGUGGUGCCU
Elgaria multicarinata webbii is the source of this 74-nucleotide non-coding RNA. NCBI's taxonomy places the organism in Eukaryota, Metazoa, Chordata, Lepidosauria, Squamata, Anguidae. The record is from the annotation of a RefSeq genome assembly.